UGCAAUGCUCUCCCGCCUCCAUUCUGUGGGAGCAGCUAGGCGCUUUCGACCCGCAGUGCUUCAUCUCAUUAAUCCGGCGAGGUUUCUAUCGGACGCGACCAGCGGGAACUCCUCCUAUUCCGUCGAGGUAUACGCUUGCGACGCCUGCUGCCUAUCACGAUGCAAGGGCCUCGAUCCGAUGCCACGACUUCGCACCUGUAUGCAAAGACAACUGGCCACGGAUUUCGCCGCGCUGCUGAACAAGACGACAGCUGCGGCCGCAUUCAGAGAUCAGACAGGGUGUCCACACACGGCGACCCCCGGUCCCAAUGUUCUCGUGGGUGCCCGAAACGCGUGGAAAUCGCCACAGAAGAGGCCUCGCAAAGUCAUGUUGGUCGUGGAUCGGCCAACCCAUCAAAGGUGUCCCUUCUCACGCCAGCUUCAGCAACCAAGGCGGUGGUUGGCAGCAAUCGGAGCGAGCACGCAGCUGGCACAGCGUGUCAUCGCAGAUCUCUGCACCAGCCGCGGGUUCUCGAAGCCUGCGCCCAGCUCCUGACCAUCGCAGCAGUACUGAGCAGUCCUAGCCGCUGUUCCUGCAGUGGGACUUGGCGAGAGGGCGGCGUGCCUCGCUUCGAGUGCACCCACAGCUUUUGCCCCGCGGGUGGCGUCGACAAGUCCGCCGUCGUCGCCUUCGACGCGCUGCCCUCCUGCCCCGUGACCAGCCCCACCAGGGCUUCAACGCGCGGGGACUUCCAUUUUUGUGAGGCCAAGGAUUCCGUCGUUAUUCUGACUGGGGCGGAUUAAUGGUCACACAAAUGUUCAUAGUUUUCAAGCAGUACAAGGACGUCCCGGAUGUUCCAGGGGGUGGUAUAGGCUUCCAUAAAAUUGGUUCUGCAUACUGUGACCCUGAAGCCUUACUGUGCCCUCGCACUUUUGGCGAUGCCGUGCUGCUCGAGGGACCGGCGAAUGACGCAACUUGUCUGCAACUUGCGCCUUUUUUGCGUAGUUUUUUUUUUUCUGGUAUGCUCCUGCGGCAACUCCUACGAAGUUUGGCCCAUAUUGACGCGAGAUCUUGUGUUUUCCUGCUUUGCGCAAAUAUAUUGUUACUUACGCCA
Dermacentor albipictus is the source of this 1094-nucleotide long non-coding RNA. RefSeq lists it as uncharacterized. NCBI's taxonomy places the organism in Eukaryota, Metazoa, Arthropoda, Arachnida, Ixodida, Ixodidae. The record is from RefSeq and is a predicted model, not a curated record.